Molecule: ribosomal RNA, 871 nt
Filed under: Vibrio sp. C4
Lineage: Bacteria; Pseudomonadati; Pseudomonadota; Gammaproteobacteria; Vibrionales; Vibrionaceae
Description: bacterial SSU rRNA
Rfam family: Bacterial small subunit ribosomal RNA
Source: RNAcentral
CAGUUUGGAUUCCGCUUAAGCCUAGUUUUUUAAUCAACUGAAGCGGUCUAACCUUGAAUGCAUUCGACCUGCGAGCAAAGAUUCUGUAAGGGGGGUGGAUUCAGGUGAGCGUGAAUCGUAAGAAUCGAGAAAUCGUGGGGAGGGGGCCCUGCCGAUAUUGACAUCAGAUUGGAAGCGUGGGAGGCAACAAGAUUAGAUACCUUGUAGUCACGCAGUAACGACGUCUUACUGAGAUUGGCAUGAGCCGUGCAUUCGGAGCUAACGCGUAAGUAGACGCUGGGGAGUACGGUCGCAGAUUAAAACUCAACUGAAUUGACGGGGACCCGCACAAGCGGUGGAGCAUGUGGUUUAAUUCGAUGCAACGCGAAGAACCUUACCUACUCUUGACAUCCAGAGAACUUUCCAGAGAUGGAUUGGUGCCUUCGGGAACUCUGAGACAGGUGCUGCAUGGCUGUCGUCAGCUCGUGUUGUGAAAUGUUGGGUUAAGUCCCGCAACGAGCGCAACCCUUAUCCUUGUUUGCCAGCGAGUAAUGUCGGGAACUCCAGGGAGACUGCCGGUGAUAAACCGGAGGAAGGUGGGGACGACGUCAAGUCAUCAUGGCCCUUACGAGUAGGGCUACACACGUGCUACAAUGGCGCAUACAGAGGGCAGCCAACUUGCGAAAGUGAGCGAAUCCCAAAAAGUGCGUCGUAGUCCGGAUUGGAGUCUGCAACUCGACUCCAUGAAGUCGGAAUCGCUAGUAAUCGUGGAUCAGAAUGCCACGGUGAAUACGUUCCCGGGCCUUGUACACACCGCCCGUCACACCAUGGGAGUGGGCUGCAAAAGAAGUAGGUAGUUUAACCUCGGGGGGACGCUACCAAGUCUGGUUGA